UGCUGCUAUGAAAACACAUGACCCACAGUCUUGUUGAUGAAAGGCACUAUCAGGCUCCACCUUAUCAAGUCAACGAUUAGCUUGACCAAGAAUUUGAAGCAAACACUGAGUUCAGAAGAUCAUGCUACUAUAGCUAGGAACCAGUAAUGGCUGAACUGAGAGCACAAUUUUUCUGAUCUGUUAUAGAUACAUUGAAAAAGCCCUCAGCGGAGGUCACCACAGGGGAUCUGUCAUACAGAAGACAUCCUUCACCAGUAACUAAGACAUGGUGCAGGCUCCUGUCCAAGGUCACGUCUGCCUGAUGUGCACUCUUCUUAUGGGCUAGUCAAAUUUUCCCACAGGACCUUCCUUCCUGCACACUAGCCAUCAUUUUCAGGUAGCAGCUUUUCCCCAGUUCCUUGGAAUUCACAUUCAGUUUGGCUCUUCAACCCUCCCAGAAUUGGAAUAUGGUCACCGAAACCCUCUGUUUUCUUCCAGUUUAUUCUUAAAGAGCAGUGAUUUGCAGCAUAUCCUUUGUUCUUCCAGGAGUCAAUAUUUAUUUUUAAGAUCAUUUGAAUGGCUUACUACCCCAUCAGUAACUGUUGAUGCUAGAAUGAGAUAUGACACUUUUUGUUAGUGACAUAAUAAAUACCCGAGAUAAUCAGCCAAUAAGUAGAAAAGAUUAAUUGUGGCUUACAGUUUGAGAGACCCAAUUUGACAGGGCAGAUGUUUUUAGGCAUCUCUAGUGAAGGGACAGGAGCACAUGGAAGAACAAAUCCAGACAACUCUUGGCUUAGCGACAAGGGUCAGAAAGAGGAAGGAGGUACGAUAAUCCAUUAUUCCCUGAAUGCACACCCAGAGUGACUUAAAGACUUCUCAUGAGGCCCUCCCUAAUAAGGUUCUUUUCAUUAUAUCCUACUAGUCUGAGGACCAAACCUUUAAUACAUAGACUUUUGGAGGAGGGCAUUCCAGGUCUAAAUUAUAGUAUACAUUAAUUGAAAGGACAUAAAUUAAGAAAUUGUAAUGAGAAUAUAUGCAAGGAACUUGGGAGUAAACAAACCUUCUUUAGAAGAUAAAGAAAGAUUUCUUAGGUGUGGUUGCUAUUCUUGGUUGUCAGUUUGACUACAUCUGGAGUUAACUAAAACCUAUGUGGCUGGAUAUACCUGUGAGGGAUUUUUCUUAAUAAUUUGUGGGAAGACCCACUUUUAAUCUGGAUAUUUUGAGGUGGAAGAUCCACCUUCAAUCUGCAUUAUACCUUCUGGUGUCAGCCAAUAUCAAGAACAUGGAUGAAGAAGGUUUUAGGUCUUUUCUCACCUUCACUGGAAAGUUCAUUUCUUCACUGCCAUUAGAGUCUACUUCUUUGGUAUGGCUGUAUACUGUACACCAGCCAUAUACUGAGAUGCCCAGCUUCAAGGAUUAAACACCUACUGGAUUCUUGGAUUUUCCAUUGCUAGACAGCCAUUGUUGGACUAGCUGAACAACAGCCUGUAAACAAUUCUAAUAAAUCCCAUAUGUACACACA
Molecule: long non-coding RNA, 1501 nt
Organism: Mus musculus (house mouse)
Lineage: Eukaryota; Metazoa; Chordata; Mammalia; Rodentia; Muridae
Product: predicted gene 11844
Exons: 4
Source: RefSeq, a predicted model, not a curated record